ACACGUAAACAACCUGCCUUCAGGAUGGGGACAACAGACGGAAACGACUGCUAAUACCGAAUAAGUUCCAAGAGCCGCAUGGCCCAUGGAAGAAAAGGUGGCCUCUACUUGUAAGCUAUCGCCUGAAGAGGGGUUUGCAUCUGAUUAGCUGGUUGGAGGGGUAACGGCCCACCAAGGCGACGAUCAGUAGCCGGUCUGAGAGGAUGAACGGCCACACUGGAACUGAGACACGGUCCAGACUCCUACGGGAGGCAGCAUG
This 259-nucleotide ribosomal RNA is filed under the name uncultured bacterium. RNAcentral's name for it is "partial 16S ribosomal RNA". It matches the Rfam family "Bacterial small subunit ribosomal RNA", at positions 113 to 353 of the family's 1533-position model. The record is from RNAcentral.